UACCAGCACCCCGAGUGGUCGGGACGUUUUAUUGGGCCUAAAGCAUCCGUAGCCGGUUCUACAAGUCUUCCGUUAAAUCCAACUGCUUAACAGGUGGGCUGCGGAAGAUACUAUAGAGCUAGGAGGCGGGAGAGGCAAGCGGUACUCGAUGGGUAGGGGUAAAAUCCGUUGAUCCAUUGAAGGCCACCAGUGGCGAAGGCGGCUUGCCAGAACGCGCUCGACGGUGAGGGAUGAAAGCUGGGGGAGCAAACCGG
This 254-nucleotide ribosomal RNA is filed under the name uncultured bacterium. Its description in RNAcentral is "partial 16S ribosomal RNA". It matches the Rfam family "Archaeal small subunit ribosomal RNA", at positions 474 to 727 of the family's 1478-position model. The record is from RNAcentral.